GAUGAACGCUGGCGGCGUGCUUAACACAUGCAAGUCGAACGAUGAAGCCCAGCUUGCUGGGUGGAUUAGUGGCGAACGGGUGAGUAACACGUGAGUAACCUGCCCUUAACUCUGGGAUAAGCCUGGGAAACUGGGUCUAAUACCGGAUAGGAGCGUCCACCGCCGGGUGGGUGUUGGAAAGAUUUAUCGGUUUUGGAUGGACUCGCGGCCUAUCAGCUUGUUGGUGAGUUAAUGGCUCACCAAGGCGAAGACGGGUAGCCGGCCUGAGAGGGUGACCGGCCACACUGGGACUGAGGGACGGCCCAGACUCCUACGGGAGGCAGCAGUGGGGAAUAUUGCACAAUGGGCGAAAGCCUGAUGCAGCGACGCCGCGUGAGGGAUGACGGCCUUCGGGUUGUAAACCUCUUUCAGUAGGGAAGAAGCGAAAGUGACGGUACCUGCAGAAGAAGCACCGGCUAACUACGUG
This 466-nucleotide ribosomal RNA is filed under the name uncultured bacterium. Its description in RNAcentral is "partial 16S ribosomal RNA". It matches the Rfam family "Bacterial small subunit ribosomal RNA", at positions 28 to 507 of the family's 1533-position model. The record is from RNAcentral.